This 522-nucleotide ribosomal RNA is filed under the name Proctolaelaps sp. OctD1cProctoDINF7. RNAcentral's name for it is "SSU rRNA". It matches the Rfam family "Eukaryotic small subunit ribosomal RNA", at positions 891 to 1438 of the family's 1831-position model. The record is from RNAcentral. Lineage: Eukaryota; Metazoa; Arthropoda; Arachnida; Mesostigmata; Ascidae. RNAcentral also lists the same sequence under 9 other names.
UUCGUAUUGUUGUGAGAGAGGUGAAAUUCUUAGACCACAGCAAGACGAACUACUGCGAAAGCAUUUGCCAAGAAUGUUUUCAUUGAUCAAGAACGAAAGUUAGAGGUUCGAAGGCGAUCAGAUACCGCCCUAGUUCUAACCAUAAACUAUGCCAACUAGCAAUUUGCUUACGUUCUCUAAAUGACUAAGUGAGAGGCCACGGGAAACCAAAGUAGGGUUAUGGGGGAAGUAUGGUUGCAAAGCUGAAACUUAAAGGAAUUGACGGAAGGGCACCACCAGGAGUGGAGCCUGCGGCUUAAUUUGACUCAACACGGGAAAACUUACCUGGUCCUGACACUAGAAGGAUUGACAGAUUGAUAGCUCUUUCUUGAUUUGGUGGAUGGUGGUGCAUGGCCGUUCUUAGUUGGUGGAGUGAUUUGUCUGGUUAAUUCCGAUAACGAACGAGACUCUAGCCUAUUAAAUAACACACAGAAUCUUGUCUUCUGUGGCGUUUCUUAAUGGGAUCAAGUGUGUUUAACGCUU